GCAUGUUUGGAAGGCUAACUGUUAUGUGAUUGCACACAGCUACAAGAUCAGCAGCCAGAGCACCAUCUGCGCACACAGCUUAUCCAUACUGCCCGGCUUCGACACAAAGGAAUGUGUCAGCUCCUACUUUUUCAAAUCGUCUGAAAGCCUCCAUUGUGUUCCAGUGAAAUUCUGCAGCCAUUCCCUGAAGAGCUAAUCCCUCUCCCCAGCAUGUCCAACUGGCAUAUCCUUCCUUCAGCAAGAAGCUCUUCCUGCAGCACUGCUGUCACAGCUUGGAGCUGAGAAGGUUCAGCUGUUCUUCAGUGUCACCUCCCUGCCCUGUGAGCUGCAGAAUGAUCAUCCUGGGGAAUGAUUUCUUACAGAUAUCAACAGACACAUUUUCUUCUCAGUAAUGUGCUCCUUUUCCCUGCAGCUCUACCAUCAGCAACAUUAUGAAAUUGCUUUAUUAAAAGGUGCAAAAGAAGCAUGCAAAGGCAGGAACAAAAGGAGAAUGCAAGAACCAGAAGAAAAAUACACCUUCUUCAUGGCCAGCAUUUGAAAUCAUAUUUCUUCUCUUAUCAUUCAUGGUAUCCUCUUCUUGAUGCUCCAGAACUGCUGCUGCUGCUGAGAAAGAUAUUGCUACAAAUUGUUAAAGUUAGUAAUUUCUCCAAAGUAAUCACCACAUUAUCAGGAAUUGAAACAGUCUAAUUAUUUGCUGUGAUGGAUCAGCACUCUUGCAUUGCGUAACAAAGGCGAGAAGAGAAAAAAUCCUGUCACUGAGUUAUCCACAUGAUCCCAAAGGAAGCGAGGUUCUUGUUUCUGAAGCUUGUUCAUUGAAGAACAGAAACCUCAGAGCAGGAACAGCCCCAGACCUCCUUCUGCUUUUCAGUAUAAAACACACUCAGCACGAGUUUUCACCUGUGGAUGACAUAUUAAGUUCACUGACAUAAUGGUGCAGGCAAAAAGGGGAAAAGAAUUUUUUUUUCACUUGCCCUCUUAUUGGUAGAAGUGCCAGAAGUGUGCUUACCCUCAUAGUGUUACAUUUAAAUCAACCCUUGUCACGAGUGACAGAUCUACAGUCUUGUUUAUGCUGCUGUGACUGCACUACAUUUUAUCUGUGAAAAAAAAAUCUAGGUAUUUACAUUAGGAGGUAGCUGACCUGACUCUUGGUUUUCUUUGAGUUACUGGUAUCCAUUAAAUCCAGGCAUCAAAAUUCUCAGCCCUGGUUAAGUUUAAACAGUAUUUCUGUUCACCACCAUAGGAUGAAAUUGCCAUCUAAGUAUAAUAAAAAAUCAGACUCUCUAACUUAGAGAAAUCUUUGGAGCCUUGCUUAGCUGCUGCUUUCACUGUUCUAAUGCUUAUGUCUGCAUAAAGCAGUGAGAAGAAUAAAAGAUGAGGGACUGAGUCAAUACAGUUUUAUCAGGCUUGUCAAAAGCUCCUUGUCCAAACUUUUUUCUUCUAAAAGUGAACUCCUGGGCAGCAGAGCUUCUUCCCCUCUCUGCAGCAGCCUUCAGUGUGACAUGCUCUGUCAUGAUGUGGUUUUUCCCUGCCAGCACCAUUGCAAGGAGGGUCAUGGCCCAGAGGUUUUUAUGUGCAUGUGAAUGAGGAGUCACAUUUUUUUACAGUAACUACAGAUAUUUGGGCUCUUGCCACCACCUUUGAUUUUGAUGCAGGGUGUGCUUCACAAGUGGUUCCAGAAGAGAAAGUUCCCACUGGAGAGCAACAAGUCUGCAUCUAGACUCAACCAUGACAGGGCUGAGUCUCAAGCACUGGUACGUCUGUACUGGCACAGCAGUCCACAAUGGGCUGAGUUUGCCUGACCCAUUUUAGGUGAAGCAGCUCAAAUGAUUUCUUCUGAUAGCAGAUGCUUGUGCAUACAAUGGAAAAAUGCUUGGGAAAAGCUGCAUUUCAGUGCAGUUCUCUUGCUUUUCAGCAGCACAUUUCAUGAUUUGAAAAUCUUACCCCUUCAGAUGUAGGCAAAAAAGGUCAAACACUGUUGUUUGAGAAGAGCACAGGAGCAAGUGCACAGCCAUUUUCAUUGCUCCAUUAAAGAGUACUAAGGCUAAGGACAGGCUGAGGGAGCUGGGUUGUUCAGCCUGCAGGGAGACCUUAUAGCAGCUUUCAGUACAUGAAGGGGACCUACAGGAUAUUGGAGAGGGAAUUUUUUAUGAGGAUAUGUGGUAAUAGGACAAGCAGCAGUGUUUUUAAACUACAGCAGGGUAGAUUUAGAUUAGACAUUAGGAAGAAGUUCAUUACUACAAGUAUGGUGAGACACUGGAGCAGGAUGCCCAGACAAGUUGUGGAUGCCUCAUCCCUGAAAGUGUAUUAAGACCAGGCUGGAUGAGACUUUGAGCAACCUGGUCUAGUGGAAGGCAUCCCAGCUCAUGGCACAGGGCUUGGAAGUAGAGGAUCUUUAAGGUCCCUUCAUUAACUCAAGCCAUUCUAUGAUAUGACAUACUAUGGUAUGAGACAGAGCUGCAGAACCCUACUUCUGUCCAGCUGUGACACUCCUACUGAUCUUCCAACAGCGGAGGUCAAGACCUAUGAAGACCCCUCCAGAUGAGCCCACUGUAAAAAUUAUACUGAUUUUCCUUUGAAGGCAGGACUCAGACUGUGUUUGCAGAGAACCUCCAGUGAAUUUCGCUGCUAUGCAUGUCUUAAAAAGUCUGAAUUGCUCUGUAAAAGAGUGCCACUGGAAGUUGGCCUCUCUCAUUUCUCCGCCACACUAGGAUUCUAGUCCUAGAUUUUAUUCAUUAUGAGAUCUUCCAAGAGGGAUAGCUGUUUACAGAUGAGUAUUAUAUGCAUAGCUUAACAACUGAAGUUUCUUACAAAAAACAGGUUUUAUAGUCACUACCAAAGGCCUCUGUCUUUUAAUUAUAGUACGUUGCAGAAAAUCACAAGAGAGAAACCAUGAUCUUCACUAUAUAUGAUAUUUGUGUACAUCUGGAACUAUUAUAAUAUAAAAAUAAGGGUACAGAUGCUGUUGACAAAUAGUGCUUGUGUUGUGACAAGGUAAUGGAGUUCUGGGAGAAAUUAACUGACCCUAUAGGCUACCACUGCUGCUCUACUACACAGUGCUGACACUUCAGAAACCACAGACUUAUUGAAAUAGGCCAUAAAAACGUGAACAAUUUGCUAACACAUUUGAUGUUGAGGUUGUUGUAUUCUCACUAGGGAAGCUACGUAGACCUUUCCUUGAUUCUAUGAUUCUAACCAGCCUGCAGCCUGUCAGCAAAGGUCUUUAGUUUUUGUUGUUGCUUUCCUCCUACUUGGUCAAUUGAAUCCUACCCUUACCUCCUUACCUCUCACUCUGCCUGAAGAGCUCUUCUUCUCCACCACAGCUUUUGCAGUCAUCUCAGAGUCUGAGGCAAGAGCCUCAAACUUCCAAAAUACCCUACAAAAGAAACCAGCUCCAGCAAAGACACACACCCACCACCUGUGGAUGUUGUUGCAAUGGUUACUGAGCCUGAGCCUAACCCUAGCUAGCCGGGGGGCCCACCAGGCCCCCCGGCCUUUGAAAUCCUCCACCAAGUCACCCGGUGCACACCACAAGGACUCACCAGG
Pogoniulus pusillus (Red-fronted tinkerbird) is the source of this 3543-nucleotide long non-coding RNA. RefSeq lists it as uncharacterized. Lineage: Eukaryota; Metazoa; Chordata; Aves; Piciformes; Lybiidae. The transcript is spliced from 3 exons. The record is from RefSeq and is a predicted model, not a curated record.